This 463-nucleotide ribosomal RNA is filed under the name uncultured bacterium. RNAcentral describes it as "partial 16S ribosomal RNA". It matches the Rfam family "Bacterial small subunit ribosomal RNA", at positions 28 to 507 of the family's 1533-position model. The record is from RNAcentral.
GAUGAACGCUGACAGAAUGCUUAACACAUGCAAGUCUUUGGCGAAGCUGUGCUUGCACAGCCUAGCCAAGGCGGACGGGUGAGUAACGCGUAAGGAACUUGCCCUGCAGUCAGGGAUAACAGACGGAAACGACUGAUAAGACCUGGUAAAGUCAGGCGGACUCAUGUCCAGCCUGAUGAAAAGAGAUGCUGCAGGAGAGCCUUGCGUCCUAUUAGCUUGUUGGUGGGGUAACGGCCCACCAAGCCGAUGAUAGGUAGCCGGCCUGAGAGGGUGGACGGCCACAAGGGGACUGGGAUGCAGCCGUUACUCCUACGGGAGGCAGGGGUGGAGAAUAUUGGAGAAUGGGGGCAACAGUGAUGCAGCAAUUCUGUGUGCACGAUGAAGGUUUUCGGAUUGUAAAGUGCUUUCAGCAGGGAAGAAAAAAAUGACGGUACCUGCAGAAGAAGCGACGGCUAAAUACGUG